GAUAUUCGCCAGAGUCUACUAGCAACAGCUUAAAACUCAAAGGACUUGGCGGUGCUUUAAACCCACCUAGAGGAGCCUGUUCUAUAAUCGAUGUUCCCCGCUAAACCUCACCACUUCUCGCUAAACCAGUCUAUAUACCGCCAUCUUCAGCAAACAAGA
This 159-nucleotide ribosomal RNA is filed under the name Thrichomys apereoides (common punare). RNAcentral's name for it is "partial small subunit ribosomal RNA". The record is from RNAcentral. Lineage: Eukaryota; Metazoa; Chordata; Mammalia; Rodentia; Echimyidae.